UACGACUACAUAUCAGGCAUAUCAAUAAGCGGAGGAAAAGAAACUAACAAGGAUUCCCUUAGUAACGGCGAGUGAAGCGGGAAGAGCUCAAAUUUGAAAUCUUCAAGGUUCUACCUUGACGAAUUGUAGUUUAAAGAAGUGUUUUCUGUUAGAUGAGUAGCAAAAGUUCCUUGGAAUGGGACAUCAUAGAGGGUGAGAAUCCCGUAUUUGGUUAUUCAUUCUAGCUUUGUGAUGCACUUUCAAAGAGUCGGAUUGUUUGGGAAUGCAGUCCAAAAUGGGUGGUAAAUUUCAUCUAAAGCUAAAUAUUGGCGAGAGACCGAUAGCGAACAAGUACCGUGAGGGAAAGAUGAAAAGAACUUUGAAAAGAGAGUUAAACAGUACGUGAAAUUGUCAAAAGGGAAGCGUUUGACACCAGUGUUGUUUUUCCGAAAAUCAAUUACGAAUGGCUUGAUUUUGUGUUGUAUUGACCUUAUCAGGCUUUCUUCACUUUUUUCGAGUCUUUCUUAAUGCACUUUUCGGUUAACAAGUCAACAUCAAUUUCUUUUGUUGUAAAAGAGUAUUCGGAAGGUGGCUUUCUUUUCGGAGAAAGUGUUUAUAGCCCUAUACUUCUACAAUCGGAGAGAUUGAGGUCUGCAGCGUAGAUCCUUCGGGGUUAGAUACACUUUGUGCUAAGUUGUAGCUUUUCAUAGACAACUUGUUGACUAUGUCUAGUCAUGCGGCUUACUCGCUUAUGCUAUUUUACCUACGCUUAGGAUGUUGAGUAGCGACAUACGCAC
This 776-nucleotide ribosomal RNA is filed under the name uncultured Neocallimastigales. RNAcentral describes it as "partial large subunit ribosomal RNA". It matches the Rfam family "Eukaryotic large subunit ribosomal RNA", at positions 24 to 649 of the family's 3401-position model. The record is from RNAcentral. Lineage: Eukaryota; Fungi; Neocallimastigomycota; Neocallimastigomycetes; Neocallimastigales.